CGAAGGGGGCUAGCGUUGCUCGGAAUCACUGGGCGUAAAGCGCACGUAGGCGGCUUUCUAAGUCAGGGGUGAAAUCCUGGAGCUCAACUCCAGAACUGCCUUUGAUACUGGAGAGCUUGAGUCCGGGAGAGGUGAGUGGAACUCCGAGUGUAGAGGUGAAAUUCGUAGAUAUUCGGAAGAACACCAGUGGCGAAGGCGGCUCACUGGCCCGGUACUGACGCUGAUGUGCGAAAGCGUGGGGAGCAAACAGGAUUAGAUACCCUGGUAGUCCACGCCGUAAACGAUGGAUGCUAGCCGUUGGCGGGUUUACCCGUCAGUGGCGCAGCUAACGCAUUAAGCAUCCCGCCUGGGGAGUACGGUCGCAAGAUUG
RNAcentral lists this ribosomal RNA (370 nucleotides) under uncultured organism. RNAcentral describes it as "bacterial SSU rRNA". It matches the Rfam family "Bacterial small subunit ribosomal RNA", at positions 526 to 896 of the family's 1533-position model. The record is from RNAcentral.